This 250-nucleotide ribosomal RNA is filed under the name uncultured bacterium. RNAcentral describes it as "partial 16S ribosomal RNA". It matches the Rfam family "Bacterial small subunit ribosomal RNA", at positions 28 to 282 of the family's 1533-position model. The record is from RNAcentral.
GAUGAACGCUGGCGGCGUGCCUAAUACAUGCAAGUCGAACGCUUCACUUCGGUGAAGAGUGGCGAACGGGUGAGUAAUACAUAAGUAACCUGGCAUCUACAGGGGGAUAACUGAUGGAAACGUCAGCUAAGACCGCAUAGGUGUAGAGAUCGCAUGAACUCUAUAUGAAAAGUGCUACGGGACUGGUAGAUGAUGGACUUAUGGCGCAUUAGCUGGUUGGUAGGGUAACGGCCUACCAAGGCGACGAUGC